AAAUUAUCAAAGUUAUCCAAUAAAUUAAACAUAAUUUCCUAAUCGUAUUUUUUUUUCUUUUUUUAUUAUUAAAAGGGAAAUAUUUAAUCUUUAAAAACUAAUUACAUAUUUUAUUAGGCCUAAUUAACCAUAACUCUAAUUUAAAUCCUUAAUCAUACUUGUAUGUUAAUUAUAAUUAUCUAGAUAAUUGUUUAGUUAUUUUU
RNAcentral lists this long non-coding RNA (203 nucleotides) under Lathyrus oleraceus (garden pea). RNAcentral's name for it is "Pisum sativum (pea) long non-coding RNA (PSAT_LNC025229)". Lineage: Eukaryota; Viridiplantae; Streptophyta; Magnoliopsida; Fabales; Fabaceae. The record is from RNAcentral.